GCCGGGCGUGGUGGCACAUGCCUGUGGUCCCAGCUGCUUGGGAGGCUGAGGCAGAGGAAUCGCUUGAACCCAGGAGGUAGAGGUUGCAGUGAGCUGAGAUUGCGCCACUGCACUCCAGCCUGGGUGACAGAGUGAUACUCUGUCUCUA
Molecule: unclassified non-coding RNA, 148 nt
Organism: Pongo abelii (Sumatran orangutan)
Lineage: Eukaryota; Metazoa; Chordata; Mammalia; Primates; Hominidae
Rfam family: Metazoan signal recognition particle RNA
About the family: The signal recognition particle (SRP) is a universally conserved ribonucleoprotein.
Source: Ensembl